CCCUUAGAGUUUGAUCCUGGCUCAGAGUGAACGCUGGCGGCAGGCCUAACACAUGCAAGUCGAACGGCAGCGCAGCCCCGCAAGGGGUGGGCGGCGAGUGGCGGACGGGUGAGGAAUACAUCGAAAUCUACCUUGUCGUGGGGGAUAACGUAGGGAAACUUACGCUAAUACCGCAUACGACCUACGGGUGAAAGCGGCGGACCGCAAGGCGUCGCGCGAUUGGAUGAGUCGAUGUCCGAUUAGCUAGUUGGCGGGGUAAAGGCCCACCAAGGCGACGAUCGGUAGCUGGUCUGAGAGGAUGAUCAGCCACACUGGAACUGAGACACGGUCCAGACUCCUACGGGAGGCAGCAGUGGGGAAUAUUGGACAAUGGGCGCAAGCCUGAUCCAGCCAUGCCGCGUGUGUGAAGAAGGCCUUCGGGUUGUAAAGCACUUUUGUUGGGGAAGAAAAGCACUCAAUUAAUACCUGGGUGUUCUGACGGUACCCAAAGAAUAAGCACCGGCUAACCUCGUGCCAGCAGCCGCGGUAAUACGAAGGGUGCAAGCGUUACUCGGAAUUACUGGGCGUAAAGCGUGCGUAGGUGGUGAGUUAAGUCUGUCGUGAAAGCCCCGGGCUCAACCUGGGAAUGGCGAUGGAUACUGGCUCGCUAGAGUGCGGUAGAGGAGAGUGGAAUUCCCGGUGUAGCAGUGAAAUGCGUAGAGAUCGGGAGGAACAUCAGUUGCGAAGCGCUCUCUGGACCGGCACUGACACUGAGCACGAAAGCGUGGGGAGCAA
This 774-nucleotide ribosomal RNA is filed under the name uncultured bacterium. RNAcentral describes it as "bacterial SSU rRNA". It matches the Rfam family "Bacterial small subunit ribosomal RNA", at positions 1 to 771 of the family's 1533-position model. The record is from RNAcentral.